AGCCAUGUAGCUCAGCGGUAGAGCACACCCCUGAUAAGGGUGGGGUCAGCAGUUCAAUCCUGCUCAUGGCUA
Molecule: transfer RNA, 72 nt
Filed under: Aeromonas phage Ahp1_CNU-2021
Lineage: Duplodnaviria; Heunggongvirae; Uroviricota; Caudoviricetes; Pantevenvirales; Straboviridae
Rfam family: tRNA
About the family: Transfer RNA (tRNA) molecules are approximately 80 nucleotides in length. Their secondary structure includes four short double-helical elements and three loops (D, anti-codon, and T loops). Further hydrogen bonds mediate the characteristic L-shaped molecular structure. tRNAs have two regions of fundamental functional importance: the anti-codon, which is responsible for specific mRNA codon recognition, and the 3' end, to which the tRNAs corresponding amino acid is attached (by aminoacyl-tRNA synthetases). tRNAs cope with the degeneracy of the genetic code in two manners: having more than one tRNA (with a specific anti-codon) for a particular amino acid; and 'wobble' base-pairing, i.e. permitting non-standard base-pairing at the 3rd anti-codon position.
Source: Rfam by way of RNAcentral